Molecule: ribosomal RNA, 447 nt
Filed under: uncultured bacterium
Lineage: Bacteria
Description: partial 16S ribosomal RNA
Rfam family: Bacterial small subunit ribosomal RNA
Source: RNAcentral
CCUACGGGGGGCUGCAGUUUCGAAUCAUUCACAAUGGGCGAAAGCCUGAUGGUGCGACGCCGCGUGAGGGAUGAAGGUCUUCGGAUUGUAAACCUCUGUCACCGGGGAAGAAACGCUUCAAGUUAAUAGUUUGAAGCCUGACUUAACCCGGAGAGGAAGCAGUGGCUAACUCUGUGCCAGCAGCCGCGGUAAUACAGAGACUGCAAGCGUCGUUCGGAUUCCGCAGGCGGCCAAGGGGGUCAGGUGGCAAAGCCCGGAGCUUAACUCCGGAAUUGCUCCUCAAACUACAUGGCUAGAGCAUUGGAGAGGGUAGCAGAAUUCACGGUGUAGCAGUGAAAUGCGUAGAUAUCGUGAGGAAUACCAGAGGCGAAGGCGGCUACCUGGACAAUUGCUGACGCUCAGGCACGAAAGCGUGGGGAGCAAAAGGGAUUAGAUACCCUUGUAGUC